GUGGCUCUAAUCUCUCCAAUCCCUUCACACCCAUUUGAUUUUUCUCAUCUGAAUUUCAUAUUUUUUCUUGGCUGUUUCUUUUUUAUUUUUUUUGGAUAUCUGCCAUAUCUUUCUGGGUUUGGCCUUUCGUUCUUGAUUACCCAUGUCAGAAAAAAAUAUUUUCUCUUCACCACUGGCAUUGGAUAAUUCUUCUAAUCAUUUCUAAUUCUUUGAUUGAUAAUAUUGCAGGUUAUGACUAUAAGGCUGAGGGUUGAUCUUGAGUGUGACUGCUGUUACAAGAAGAUCAAGAAACUGCUCCGCAAAUUUCCUGAGAAAUACGAGACCAGGCUUUCUUUAAGGAGGAAAACACAGUGGUGAUCAAAAUAGUAUGCUGCAACCCUCAUGAGAUCAGAGACAAGCUUAUCCGCAAAAGCCGCAAAACCAUCAAGGGGAUUGAGAUGAUAGUACCGGAGAAGCCUAAGCCCCCACCGGAGAAGCCAAUGUUAGAUUAAUUUUUUGUAAUUAAUCUAUAAUUUGGGCCACACAUGUAAAUAAUUAAAAUGUGUGUG
Molecule: RNA transcript, 548 nt
Organism: Vitis riparia (riverbank grape)
Lineage: Eukaryota; Viridiplantae; Streptophyta; Magnoliopsida; Vitales; Vitaceae
Gene name: heavy metal-associated isoprenylated plant protein 6-like
Exons: 2
Source: RefSeq, a predicted model, not a curated record